Coregonus clupeaformis (lake whitefish) is the source of this 1007-nucleotide long non-coding RNA. RefSeq lists it as uncharacterized. The record is from RefSeq and is a predicted model, not a curated record. NCBI's taxonomy places the organism in Eukaryota, Metazoa, Chordata, Actinopteri, Salmoniformes, Salmonidae. The transcript is spliced from 5 exons.
GACAUUUUACCAUGGUGAACCAAUCAAGGUCAGUGUCGAUAUCAACAACAGCUCCAGCAGAUCACUGAAAGACAUCACUGUCGCAGAAAUACAGUGCCCUCUGGCACAACCCUGAAGAAGGUGUACACCCUCAUUCCUCUAUUGGCUGCUAACAAGGAAAGACGGGGUAUUGCUGUGGAUGGGAAACUGACGCAUGAGGACACCUAUCUGGCUUCCUCGAGCAUUGAGGUUGCAGUGGAGGUUCCAAUCCGACUCAUGCAUCCUAAACCUGACCCAGCUAAGGAGGGUGAGUCCGAUGACAUGGUGUUCGAGGAGUUCAAGAGGGUCUACCUGAAAGGGAUCAUCUCUGAUGAUGACGAGUCACCCACCGAGGCAUGAGCAGGCUGUCCAAGGAGGCAGAGCUCUUGCAUGGGUCAGUCACACUGUCCAACCACGGCCUAAUGUACAACAUCAGCUGGACGUCACAGCUUGAAAUGCUGAGGGUCAUGAAGAACCAAAAGGCGAGAUGUUGUAGAGAGCUUUUAAGAAUUGUCUGCUUAUGUAACGUUGUCACUUGUCUGCUUUGCUGCACGACUCAUUGCUCCAUAUUGGUUAGGUCGUUAUUGUAAAAGUGAUGUGUUCUAAAUGACUUCCCUGGUAAGAUAAAGGCAAAUAAAGGCAAAUAAAUAAAUAUAAUAAUCGUACUGUAGAUGUCAUAGUAUUGCCAUUCAGUAUACCGGUAGACAAAUCCAGACCCAAGGCCUAUGCGUUAUAGUAAUGUUCACUGUUGCAGUGCUGUGUGAAGACACAUUUUGUUCAGCCAAGCUGAUAUUUUACCUUGGGUUUGGUGUUGGACUGUUUUCUAAGUGUCCGUGGUCUUCGGGUCAUCUACAAGCAGUAGAAAAGGUGCUGCUCAGUAAAGAUGAAAGGCCAGAUUUAGAAAGCCUGUUUUAUAGUUAGGAAAUACACUGAGUAUAACAAACAUUAGGAACAGCACCUUCCUAAUAAUGAGUUGCAAGGCUUAAAAA